This 451-nucleotide ribosomal RNA is filed under the name uncultured bacterium. RNAcentral's name for it is "bacterial SSU rRNA". It matches the Rfam family "Bacterial small subunit ribosomal RNA", at positions 354 to 796 of the family's 1533-position model. The record is from RNAcentral.
GUGGGGAAUCUUCCGCAAUGGACGAAAGUCUGACGGAGCAACGCCGCGUGAGUGAAGAAGGUCUUCGGAUCGUAAAGCUCUGUUGUUAGGGACGAACGGUAUAUAUAUGAAAAAUAUAAAUACAUGACGGUACCUAAAGAGGAAGCCACGGCUAACUACGUGCCAGCAGCCGCGGUAAUACGUAGGUGGCGAGCGUUGUCCGGAAUUAUUGGGCGUAAAGGGCGCGUAGGCGGGAUUGUAAGUCUGUUGUAAAAGUGCGGGGCUCAACCCCGUAAGGUCAAUGGAAACUGCAAUUCUUGAGUGCAGGAGAGGAAAGUGGAAUUCCCAGUGUAGCGGUGAAAUGCGUAGAUAUUGGGAGGAACACCAGUGGCGAAGGCGACUUUCUGGACUGUGUCUGACGCUGAGGCGCGAAAGCCAGGGGAGCGAACGGGAUUAGAAACCCUUGUAGUCC